ACUCCUACGGGAGGCAGCAGUGGGGAAUAUUGGGCAAUGGGGCGAAAGCCUGACCCAGCAACGCCGCGUGAAGGAAGAAGGUCUUCGGAUCGUAAACUUCUAUCCUUGGUGAAGAUAAUGACGGUAGCCGAGAAGGAAGCCCCGGCUAACUACGUGCCAGCAGCCGCGGUAAU
This 173-nucleotide ribosomal RNA is filed under the name uncultured bacterium. RNAcentral's name for it is "partial 16S ribosomal RNA". It matches the Rfam family "Bacterial small subunit ribosomal RNA", at positions 335 to 524 of the family's 1533-position model. The record is from RNAcentral.